This 1413-nucleotide long non-coding RNA is filed under the name Salmo salar (Atlantic salmon). RNAcentral describes it as "lncRNA (ENSSSAG00000093865.1, ENSSSAG00000097389.1)". The record is from RNAcentral. Lineage: Eukaryota; Metazoa; Chordata; Actinopteri; Salmoniformes; Salmonidae.
AUACAGUGUGUACGGUCAGCAGAGUGAGUCUGAACACUGAAAGGAAGGAAGGUGUAAAAAUGACGAGAAAUCACUUUCAUUUUUCUGUCUUUUUAAUUCCCCUUCACACUCUAUCUGUCUGUUCCUGUCAGAGUUAGAGAAGAGAGGGAGUGAAAACAGCGCUGAAGGGGUAAUAAUGGAUGGCAGAGGAAAAGAGAGUGUAUUGGCUGAACAGAUUAUGUUGGUGAAGGAGAGAGAGGGCAGAGUGUCAGAUGGAAAGGUGAAGGGAGAGAGGGAGAGAAAGAGAGCGAGAGAGAGAGAGAGAGAGAGAGAGAGUUGGAGGAGGUAGACUGACAGACUGAGGGGUAUUUGUGGCCGGUCACAGAGAUAAGCACAUUCUGUUCUCCCUCUCAAGCGUGUGGGCAAAAACACACACACACACAUAUACACACACAUAUACACACACACAAACACACACACGCACACAGUUCAAUUGCAAUGAGCUCUUGGCACCUGACAGAAGUUCACUUGCUCAGCCCUCUGUUGUCAUGGAAACGAUCAGAUUGGUUCGCCAGCCUGCGAGCCGUCCUCUGAGUUGAGAAAGGAAGGAGGUUUGUGUGUGCUUGCUUGUGACCAUGCAUGCAUGAAUUAGUGUGUUUAUGGUGUGUGAUUGUGUGUAGUUCAAGUUUGUCUGUUUGCAUUUACGAAGGAUCCCCAUUAGCUGCUCCCAAGGCAGCAGCAACAUUAAGGCAGUUAACUUAAAAUAUUACAUGACAUUAUAUUUCAGAACACUGUUCACAUUAAGUGUGUUCUAUUGUGUUUCUUAAACAGGAAGACAUGUAACAAGUCAGUGUGUAUCUCUGGGUGUUUUUUUUUAAAGUUUAUUGUCUUAGAGUUUUGGUACAGUUUGUCAUAGUUGCUAAGCAACCUGCCAAGUAUCUUGCUCAGUGGUCAGAUCAGUGGUCAGAUCAGUGGUCAGCUCAGUGGUCAGGUCUGUGGUCAGUGGUCAGAUCAGUGGUCAGCUCAGUGGUCCUUCCACUGUAAAGCCUCUUACCUGUUUUUAAAUGUGAGAAACGUGUGUAUGCUCAGUGUUCAUCUGUUGAUAUAAAACACCAACUGACACAGCCUUUGUUUAAUGGUUCUGGGAAGAGCUUGUGAAUCUCCUCUCUUCACAGAUCAUAUGUAAUUAGCCAGUGUUGUACGCCAGAUAUCAGUCAUUAGACAGAGGGGUAAGUAAUUAGAAACUCAGUGUUUUCAGUCAGACAUAAACAUGAACGUUGACGUGGGUGGUGAUGGAAAUGAAAGGUGUUUUAGAGACUGUGGUAAUUAGAUUUUAAAUGGAUUUUAUUAAGUUAGUUUUUAUAAUCAGCUGGUAAUUACUUCACAGAACACUUGAAGGAAAUGUGGAUUUAGUUUGAAUGGAUUGUGUGUGUG